UGCAGUCGAACGGUGAUAGCAUAUCAUAGUGGCGCACGGGUGCGUAACACGUAUGCAACCUACCUUAUACUGAGGGAUAGCCUUUCGAAAGGGAGAUUAAUACCUCAUAACACAUUGAACUGGCAUCAGUUUAUUGUUAAAGAUUUAUUGGUAUAAGAUGGGCAUGCGUCCAAUUAGUUAGUUGGCGAGGUAACGGCUCACCAAGACGAUGAUUGGUAGGGGAACUGAGAGGUUAAUCCCCCACACUGGCACUGAGAUACGGGCCAGACUCCUACGGGAGGCAGCAGUAGGGAAUAUUGGGCAAUGGAGGCAACUCUGACCCAGCCAUGCCGCGUGCAGGAAGAAGGCGUUAUGCGUUGUAAACUGCUUUUAUAUAGGAAGAAAUAGACCUUGCGAGGUAAGUUGACGGUACUAUAUGGAUAAGCACCGGCUAACUCCGUGCCAGCAGCCGCGGUAAUACGGAGGGUGCAAGCGUUGUCCGGAUUUAUUGGGUUUAAAGGGUGCGUAGGCGGUUUAUUAAGUCAGUGGUGAAAGACGGUCGCUCAACGAUUGCAGUGCCAUUGAUACUGGUAGACUUGAGUGGGAUUGAGGUAGCUGGAAUGGAUAGUGUAGCGGUGAAAUGCAUA
This 626-nucleotide ribosomal RNA is filed under the name uncultured bacterium. Its description in RNAcentral is "bacterial SSU rRNA". It matches the Rfam family "Bacterial small subunit ribosomal RNA", at positions 56 to 692 of the family's 1533-position model. The record is from RNAcentral.